Molecule: ribosomal RNA, 497 nt
Filed under: uncultured bacterium
Lineage: Bacteria
Description: partial 16S ribosomal RNA
Rfam family: Bacterial small subunit ribosomal RNA
Source: RNAcentral
GAUGAACGCUGGCGGCGUGCCUAAUACAUGCAAGUCGAGCGAACAGACGAGGAGCUUGCUCCUCUGACGUUAGCGGCGGACGGGUGAGUAACACGUGGAUAACCUACCUAUAAGACUGGGAUAACUUCGGGAAACCGGAGCUAAUACCUGAUAAUAUAUUUAACCGCAUGGUUCAAUAGUGAAAGACGGUUUUGCUGUCACUUAUAGAUGGAUCCGCGCCGCAUUAGCUAGUUGGUAAGGUAACGGCUUACCAAGGCGACGAUGCAUAGCCGACCUGAGAGGGUGAUCGGACGCAGUUGAAGGUGGACACGGUCCAGACUCCUACGGUAGGCAGCAGUAGGGAAUCUUCCGCAAUGGUCGCAAGCCAGACGGUACAACGGCGCGUAAGUGAUGAAGGUCUUCGGGGCGUAAAACUCUGUUAUUGGGAAAGAACAAAUGUGUAAGUAACUAUGCACGUCUUGACGGUACCUAAUCAGAAAGCCACGGCUAACUACGUG